GGACGAAAGUCUGACCGAGCAACGCCGCGUGAGUGAAGAAGGUUUUCGGAUCGUAAAGCUCUGUUGUAAGUCAAGAACGUGUGUGAGAGUGGAAAGUUCACACAGUGACGGUAGCUUACCAGAAAGGGACGGCUAACUACGUGCCAGCAGCCGCGGUAAUACGUAGGUCCCGAGCGUUGUCCGGAUUUAUUGGGCGUAAAGGGAGCGCAGGCGGUCAGGAAAGUCUGGAGUAAAAGGCUAUGGCUCAACCAUAGUGUGCUCUGGAAACUGUCUGACUUGAGUGCAGAAGGGGAGAGUGGAAUUCCAUGUGUAGCGGUGAAAUGCGUAGAUAUAUGGAGGAACACCAGUGGCGAAAGCGGCUCUCUGGUCUGUCACUGACGCUGAGGCUCGAAAGCGUGGGUAGCGAACAGGAUUAGAUACCCUGGUAGUCCACGCCGUAAACGAUGAGUGCUAGGUGUUAGGCCCUUUCCGGGGCUUAGUGCCGGAGCUAACGCAAUAAGCACUCCGCCUGGGGAGUACGACCGCAAGGUUGAAACUCAAAGGAAUUGACGGGGGCCCGCACAAGCGGUGGAGCAUGUGGUUUAAUUCGAAGCAACGCGAAGAACCUUACCAGGUCUUGACAUCCCGAUGCUAUUCUUAGAGAUAGGAAGUUACUUCGGUACAUCGGAGACAGGUGGUGCAUGG
Molecule: ribosomal RNA, 684 nt
Filed under: Streptococcus mutans
Lineage: Bacteria; Bacillati; Bacillota; Bacilli; Lactobacillales; Streptococcaceae
Description: bacterial SSU rRNA
Rfam family: Bacterial small subunit ribosomal RNA
Source: RNAcentral